UGGUAUAUUCUGUUUUUAUUAAGAAUGGGUAGCGGGUAUCGUAAGGUCGAGCACACUCGAAUGGAGAUUUCUUACUUGUUUUUAUUAUAUUAACAAAACCCGUUGGAAUAAUAAAAGCUUCAAAUUCCAAAUUCUAAAUUUAACAGUGUGCUUAAUAAAUGUAUUUAAGAAAAUCUUCUUAAAUAAAGUCAACAAAUUCGAAAUGUAAUAGGGCAAUCUUGUUAUGCAAUAUAUGUGACGUAAAUGUUAACCAAUUAUCUAAAAAUAUUUAUUCAUUUACGAUGUGGUAAAUUUAAAUUUAAUGCUAAUUUUCCGCAUUUCUACAAAAGACCUAUAAAAGGCCACCACCAAAAGCUUCUCAAUCAAUUCUAAAAUAAUCUGCAAAAAUGAAACUCUUGGCGUUAGUAAUGGGUCUGAUCCUCAUUUGCAGCGUUUAUUCCGCACCGCAAGGCAGAUGUGAUCCUCCGCCGAUCAACCCCGAUGAUAGAAUCUGGCCUCCACCUGACCUGAUCGAUCCCGAAUAUGGACCACCCUGGACGUGAAGUGAAGUUGCUUCAUAACUUAAAGUACGAAACUAAUUUAAUAAAAGAGCUGUUAUUUUGUAUACUUAAAGUGUGUAAUAAACAUACAUAUGUUAGUUUUGUAA
Long non-coding RNA from Drosophila sulfurigaster albostrigata, 646 nucleotides. RefSeq lists it as uncharacterized. The transcript has 2 exons. NCBI's taxonomy places the organism in Eukaryota, Metazoa, Arthropoda, Insecta, Diptera, Drosophilidae. The record is from RefSeq and is a predicted model, not a curated record.